Molecule: transfer RNA, 83 nt
Filed under: Archaeoglobus sp.
Lineage: Archaea; Methanobacteriati; Methanobacteriota; Archaeoglobi; Archaeoglobales; Archaeoglobaceae
Also listed under: 2 other names
Description: tRNA-Leu
Rfam family: tRNA
About the family: Transfer RNA (tRNA) molecules are approximately 80 nucleotides in length.
Source: RNAcentral
GCGGGGGUUGCCGAGUGGCCAAAGGCGUGAGACUCAAGAUCUCAUCCCGAAGGGGUUCGAGGGUUCGAAUCCCUCCCCCCGCA